GACGAACGCUGGCGGCGUGCUUAACACAUGCAAGUCGAGCGGUAAGGCCCUUUUGGGGGUACACGAGCGGCGAACGGGUGAGUAACACGUGGGUGACCUGCCCUCAGCUCUGGGAUAAGCCUGGGAAACUGGGUCUAAUACUGGAUAUGACCUUUCCUCGCAUGGGGGUUGGGUGGAAAGUUUUUCGGCUGGGGAUGGGCCCGCGGCCUAUCAGCUUGUUGGGUGGGGUGAUGGCCUACCAAGGCGACGACGGGUAGCCGGCCUGAGAGGGCGACCGGCCACACUGGGACGUGAGACACGGCCCAGACUCCUACGGGAGGGCAGCAGUGGGGAAGUAUUGCGCAAUGGGCGGAAGCCUGACGCAGCGACGCCGCGU
Molecule: ribosomal RNA, 376 nt
Filed under: uncultured bacterium
Lineage: Bacteria
Description: bacterial SSU rRNA
Rfam family: Bacterial small subunit ribosomal RNA
Source: RNAcentral